GAUGAACGCUGGCGGUAUGCUUAACACAUGCAAGUCGAACGGACUCUUCGUAGUUAGUGGCGGUCGGGUGAGUAACGCGUGAGAAUCUGGCUUUGGGCUCGGGACAACACUUGUACACGGUGGCUAAUACCGGAUGUGCUGCGAGGUUAACGAGAAGUUGCCUGGAGUUGAGCCAGCGUCUGUUGAGCCAUUUGGUGAGUUAAAGGGCCAAUAAGGCAGCGAGUAGUGGCAGGUCUGAGAUGAGGACCAGCCAAGAUGGGAAUGAGACGCGGCCGAGACUAAUACGGGAGGAAGGAGUGGAGAAUGUUCCAGAAAGAGCGAGAGCGUGACGGAGCAAUACCGCGUGAGGGAAGAAGGCUCUUGGGUAGUAAACCUCUUGUCUUAGGGAAGAACAAAAUGACGGUACCUAAGGAAUCAGCAUCGGCUAACUCCGUG
This 435-nucleotide ribosomal RNA is filed under the name uncultured bacterium. RNAcentral's name for it is "partial 16S ribosomal RNA". It matches the Rfam family "Bacterial small subunit ribosomal RNA", at positions 28 to 507 of the family's 1533-position model. The record is from RNAcentral.